Molecule: long non-coding RNA, 524 nt
Filed under: Cyanistes caeruleus (blue tit)
Lineage: Eukaryota; Metazoa; Chordata; Aves; Passeriformes; Paridae
Description: lncRNA (ENSCCEG00000021760.1)
Source: RNAcentral
AUGAGAUGCCAUAGUGGAUUCCAUAGUCAAACAACUAAAAUGUUGCUAAAAAUUUGCUCCCUGCUUUCAAGCUGGAGACAAAAUUCACUUGGAACUGUCUAAAAAACAAGUCACAAGGUUUGAGAACAGUCUGUCAAUGCUCUCUCCAAGCACAAGUUAAACCUUGACUUUCAUCUUAAUUUCCAGACAUCAGUCUCCCAGACUUCACUGAGUUUCCAGUUGCUGGCUUCCUUUUGGAUCUCUCUUGGGCACCAAGAAAGUCAGAACCUCAUUCAUCAGCUAUAAUCCUGAGAUCAGCUUCUCUUUUCCACAUGGAUGCUUUGGACCUGAGGAAGUUUGGACUCCUGGCCUCUCUCUGCAAUCCAUCCCAUGAAGUCAUCUGGCAGUCCCUAGAUGAGGUGAUGCUGAAGACACUGUGUGCACCUUGGACCAGCAUAGAAGGAUAAAACGAAGAUGGUGGGAGAAAAGAACGUGGUGAGAGCUCACUGCCGGGUGACUGCACUGCCCACCUGCCUUCUCCUCAG